Non-coding RNA from Solanum lycopersicum (tomato), 141 nucleotides. RefSeq annotates it as microRNA MIR5304. NCBI's taxonomy places the organism in Eukaryota, Viridiplantae, Streptophyta, Magnoliopsida, Solanales, Solanaceae. The record is from RefSeq and is marked provisional.
UCUAAUUUAGAUCCAUGGUGCAGUUGCUCAUUCAAUGCUACAUACUCAUCCCCACAACUUUCAUCUCACGUUCAAAAGAUGAAAGUUAUAGAGAUGAGUAUGGUGCAUUGGAUGUGUGGCCAUACCAUGGGUGAUGUUAGA